This 322-nucleotide unclassified non-coding RNA is filed under the name Hevea brasiliensis (rubber tree). The record is from RNAcentral. Lineage: Eukaryota; Viridiplantae; Streptophyta; Magnoliopsida; Malpighiales; Euphorbiaceae.
GGUGGCAAUGUUGAUGCCUACUCCAUAAUUAGGGUAAAUUUUUCUGCGAGCUUCAUUUCCUUUAUGUAAUAAAGACUUUUAGUGUCAUAGAUUGUUCAAGCUUGCAUUAUGAUAUAGUUUGCAUUAUUGUGCAUGCCUUCAUGUUUCUGCCACUAAAUGAUCACACUUUUGUCUUCAUGUUAGAUAUCAAAUAUGAAGUUUUUAAUUUUCAUUCCUCCUACAGGACCCAGUUGUGCAGAAUUUAUUUAGCUGAAUUAGGAGUUGCCAGGACUCAUAAUUUUUUAUUCUGCUUAUAACAGGAAUCUAUAGUUUGUCCAGUUGC